CUUUCUAUGGUCAAGAGAAGUAGAAAAAAAUAUGAGCUGAAUCAUCUGAGUAUGAACAGAACAGAAAAGCCUAGUCAAGAAAGUAGGAUAGAAAGGCAAAAUACCAGAGAACUGAUAGGUAGUCAUAAUAUCAUAUAUGUACAAGUCCAGUAUUUAUGGAGUGUUUACUUUUUAUUUGGAACUAUGAUAAAGGCUUUAAGAAUAGUCAUAAGAAAAGAAUAAUGGUGGAUUACUAAGUGC
Molecule: long non-coding RNA, 240 nt
Filed under: Bos taurus (domestic cattle)
Lineage: Eukaryota; Metazoa; Chordata; Mammalia; Artiodactyla; Bovidae
Description: long non-coding RNA NONBTAT002867
Source: RNAcentral